GUUUUAAUAAUUUAAUGUAAAAUAUUGGUCUUGUAAACCAAAAAUGAAAUUUUUCUUAAAACU
This 63-nucleotide transfer RNA is filed under the name Stenopsocus aphidiformis. Its description in RNAcentral is "tRNA-Thr". It matches the Rfam family "tRNA". Rfam says of the family: Transfer RNA (tRNA) molecules are approximately 80 nucleotides in length. Their secondary structure includes four short double-helical elements and three loops (D, anti-codon, and T loops). Lineage: Eukaryota; Metazoa; Arthropoda; Insecta; Psocodea; Stenopsocidae. The record is from RNAcentral. RNAcentral also lists the same sequence under 3 other names.